AGAGUUUGAUCCUGGCUCAGGACGAACGCUGGCGGCGUGCCUAACACAUGCAAGUCGAGCGAUGAAGUUCCUUCGGGAACGGAUUAGCGGCGGACGGGUGAGUAACACGUGGGUAACCUGCCUCAAAGAGGGGGAUAGCCUCCCGAAAGGGAGAUUAAUACCGCAUAACAUUAUUUUCUCGCAUGAGAAGAUAAUCAAAGGAGCAAUCCGCUUUGAGAUGGACCCGCGGCGCAUUAGCUAGUUGGUGAGGUAACGGCUCACCAAGGCGACGAUGCGUAGCCGACCUGAGAGGGUGAUCGGCCACAUUGGAACUGAGACACGGUCCAGACUCCUACGGGAGGCAGCAGUGGGGAAUAUUGCGCAAUGGGGGAAACCCUGACGCAGCAACGCCGCGUGAGUGAUGAAGGUCUUCGGAUUGUAAAGCUCUGUCUUUGGGGACGAUAAUGACGGUACCCAAGGAGGAAGCCACGGCUAACUACGUGCCAGCAGCCGCGGUAAUACGUAGGUGGCAAGCGUUGUCCGGAUUUACUGGGCGUAAAGAGUAUGUAGGCGGAUAUUUAAGUCAGAUGUGAAAUUCCCGGGCUUAACCUGGGCGCUGCAUUUGAAACUGGGUAUCUAGAGUGCGGGAGAGGAAAGUGGAAUUCCUAGUGUAGCGGUGAAAUG
RNAcentral lists this ribosomal RNA (663 nucleotides) under uncultured Clostridium sp. Its description in RNAcentral is "bacterial SSU rRNA". It matches the Rfam family "Bacterial small subunit ribosomal RNA", at positions 8 to 688 of the family's 1533-position model. Lineage: Bacteria; Bacillati; Bacillota; Clostridia; Eubacteriales; Clostridiaceae. The record is from RNAcentral.